UGGGCCCACAUCCAGCACAUACUGGUAGACUGCUUGUUAGGAGAGCAAGUGAAGCCCCUGACCUUCCUAUCUCGUGUCCCACAGAAAAUUUUGGAACUACUGCUCCAAGUAUCUAAGAUAAGAGUAUGGCACAACAAUAUUCACAAGAAGGUAGAUUAGAAUGGAACUCAUGAUUGAUCUCACGAGGAUAGUCCUCUCUAUCAUGGAGAAGGUGUUGGGAAUAGUAUCCC
Molecule: long non-coding RNA, 230 nt
Filed under: Elaeis guineensis (African oil palm)
Lineage: Eukaryota; Viridiplantae; Streptophyta; Magnoliopsida; Arecales; Arecaceae
Description: long non-coding RNA (EGUI_LNC063932)
Source: RNAcentral